Molecule: ribosomal RNA, 406 nt
Filed under: uncultured bacterium
Lineage: Bacteria
Description: partial 16S ribosomal RNA
Rfam family: Bacterial small subunit ribosomal RNA
Source: RNAcentral
UGAGGAAUAUUGCGCAAUGGCCGAAAGGCUGACGCAGCGACGCCGCGUGGGGGGUGACGGCCUUCGGGUUGUAAACCCUUGUCAGUGGGGAAGAAAAAAAUGACUGUACCCACAGAGGAAGCCCCGGCUAACUACGUGCCAGCAGCCGCGGUAAGACGUAGGGGGCGAGCGUUGUUCGGAAUUACUGGGCGUAAAGAGCUCGUAGGCUGGAAAUUAAGUCUUUGAACAAAUCCCCCGGCUCAACCGGGAACCGUUCAGGGAUACUGAUUUUCUUGAGAACAGGAGAGGGGAAUGGAAUUCCUAGUGUAGCGGUGAAAUGCGUAGAUAUUAGGGGGAACACCAGUGGCGAAGGCGGUUCUCUGGCCUGUUUCUGACGCUGAGGGGCGAAAGCUGGGGGAGCGAACGG